GAGUGCAUUCCCAUUGCUUAUAACCAAGGAACACUAUUGGAGCCCAGUCCAGAUGGAAAAUUGUGACGUCUAGUGAGCCCUGUGCCCAACACUGUGCUGGGUCAAGGACAUUCUAUGGUGAGCGAAGUAGGCACCAUCCCACCUCAAUGAUCUCAUAGUCCAGCAAAGAAGAGGAGUUAUGCAAAUAGGCCUGAUUAACAAAUUGGAACAUGUACUACGAAGGAAACAAAAUUCUGUGGAACAAAAAGGAAUAACUGAAGAUAUCUCAUUUGAAGAUAAGGUGAGGCUUAGAAGAGAUUUCUCUGAGCACAAGAUAUUUAACCUGAAACAUGAGGAUGAGUAGUGCUGGAUUAGCCCAGGGGGAAUUCAUGGGACAGCGAGACCAUUCCUGAGGGAGAGAACCACACGGGCAAAGGCUCUGAGGAAGAAAACUUGGCCCGUUGGAGGCACUGAAAGCCAGGCAGCAUGGCUCGCAGAGGUGGCCAAGCUGAGGCUAAAAAGUGCAAUGGGCAGCUUCCACUGGUGGCUAUGGAACUGGGCUCAGCCAGGCUCCUCUGAGAGGAGAGUGGCCCCGCACCCUUGAGCCGUGGCUACUGGGAGACAGAGGUGUCAACUGAAUGGUUGUGAUCUGGAAGUCAGAACUCCAAGUUCUGUAAAAAAAUAACAUAGAAUAAAAUCUCCUAGGGCUGUGGCAGGGGUCAACAGGGAUAAAGUAGGUAUAGGGUGAGGACGGGGCCUUGUAUACAGAAAGCACUCAGUGCAUGUGGGCCCUGGCUCUUUCGGGGUGAUACUAUGUGCUUUCCUUUUCUUGAGUUACAAGGCCUGUAAAAGACAUGGAGCAAAUGUCCUGAAAGGCCACUUUCUAUGGAAUCUUGCUGUUGGCAGGGCUGGAAGGGGUGGGAGGGCCUGGGUUUAUCUGGGUCCUGGGCGAGGUGAGGAUGGUACAUGCUUUGGCCUCCUCAGCCCCACAUCAUAGUCUGUCUGACCCAUCUCUGACCUGGGCACUGCAGUCCCAGGUGCCUGGCUGGCUUGCCGGCAGAGAGCUGGGCCUUGGCUUGAUCCUGGCAUUUACUCAACAGCCGUCUUGGUAUUUGUGAGAGGCACCUGCAAGCUCAACAAAACUAACCUGGGGCCUUGAACUCUGGUGUCCAAAAAGCAUCCUUAAUUGUAGAACAAGUAGCACGGACUUGAUUUCUUCUGACCAAACCCUUUGCUCUCCACCAUUGAGUGUCUCCAUAUUCUUGGGCUAUUUGAGGUCUUGAUCCCAAACAAGUAAAUACGGGGGCUGAGAUGGAGUUGGGUUUGAAUCCACCUGUGGUCUUGAGCAAGUUCCCUCUCUGAACCUAUUUCCUCAUCUGGAAAAUGGAGUUACAAUAGCAUUAGUAGUGUUUCUUCGAGGGUAAGUGAGAUAGGACAUGUAGACUGCUUAGGACAGGGCCCAACUCAGAGCACACCCUCCAUAGAGGUUACUUGCUAUGAGAAAUGAAUUAUUCUUUUUAAAAUUAGUAUUAUUAUUAGCAAAAGGGUGAAUUCCUAAUGAAAACAGUGAAGUGUAGAGCACAGUAGGGGUUGAGAUCGGAUACCCAGCUCAUCACAGGUCAGACCUCGAAGACAGAAGGAAAAGCAGAAAGACCCCUUGAGUCUCGGCUUGGCUGGGCUUGAGGAGGCAGCAAGGCAAGGCUUGUUGAGAGUGACUGAGAAAUUUCACAGAUGCUUCCAUAGCUCUGGGGGAGUUAAGUCAUGCUCCUGUUGGCCUGGGGCAUGACUGCAUGCUUCAGGGCCCACACUCUGGAAGCCUGGGUUCCAAUAGCCUCCCUCUCUCCACAUCUCCAGUCUUCUCCAAAAAAAUAAGACCUUACAGACUCAAGCUGGAGGUUUUCACCAAGCACAAGGAAGAAUUUUAAGGCUGUCCAAGAAAUAGAAUGCCAAGGAUGUCAUACAUUUCCAUAGGAUUAAUUCUGUUCAGUAGGAUUAAUGCGCCAGACUUUGUUCUAAAUCCUUUCUAUGAAUUAAUUAAUUAAAUACUCAACACAA
Cebus imitator (Panamanian white-faced capuchin) is the source of this 2034-nucleotide long non-coding RNA. RefSeq lists it as uncharacterized. The transcript has 2 exons. Lineage: Eukaryota; Metazoa; Chordata; Mammalia; Primates; Cebidae. The record is from RefSeq and is a predicted model, not a curated record.